UAAUAAACUGCUAAAGCUUGGAAGCAUUGCCUAUGAUUGGAUUACUGUGAAGGUGGGUAAUGGAAGAGAAGUCAGAUUUUGGACAGAUAAUUGGUCACCCGUUGGGAGUAUCCAGAAAUUCUUGGCCCCUGUUGCAGCGAACUCGAUGGGAAUCCCCUCAUCAGCUACACUCCAUGAUAUGUUUGUCAGGGAUCGAUGGAAUAUAAGACCCGCCCGCUCUGAUCGCCAAGUUCAAAUUCAAGCAAUUUUAUCUUCGGUUACUCUGUCUCAGCUUCCUGAUGAAUAUGAGUGGACAAUAGAAGGUAAAGUUUGGCUUAAAUAUCAGACUGGAACAAUCUAUAAACUCCUGAAAAAUCAUGCGCAAACGGUACCUUGGAAAGGAGCUAUAUGGAAUUCAGGUGGUGUGCCCCGGCAUAGCUUCCACGCCUGGCUCGUCACCCUAAACAGACUACCGACCCGAGACAGACUUCUCUCUUGGGGACUUGCUGUUCCUGCAACUUGUCUACUCUGCAACCAAGGAGAUGAAUCAAGGGACCACUUGUUCUUCUCUUGUACCUUCUCCUCUGAACUUUGGAUCCAUCAUGCUCGACGGACUGAGACAACCCCAUCUACUGGUUGGAACGAUUCUCUUAAUCACAUGCAAUCACUACCAGGACCUCCUUGGCGCAGGAAGCUUCAACUGAUUGUAUGGCAAGCUGUGAUCUACUCUAUUUGGCAAGAAAGGAACGCUCGACUUCACUGCAACACUGCAAAAACCAUCAAUACCAUCUCUUCCAUACUGGACAGAACGAUUCGAAAUAAGAUCCAUGGCUUCAGAGACUCAAACCCAAUCGGAGCUUCUCAGAUGAUUCAGUUCUGGUUUGCAACUGCUCCAUCACCAUAUCCUCCAAACCCUCAUCUCCCAUUCCUGCAAUCAACUGACUAAGUCAUCACUUCCGAUCCGUUACUCUUUUCCUGGCCAUCUGGGCUUCUACUAUCUCCUCUCUCAUUCAUUGGUCUUUUCUCUGAUGUGGGCUUCGGUCAUUUUUUGUAAUAGGGCGCAACCCAAAAACUAAGGCCUUAUGGCUUGUUUUCUUUUUUUCUCAUGCUUUUAAUAGAAGAAAAUCUUCAAAAAAAAAAAAAAAAAAAAGAUAAAUCAAUCCAAAUAGAACUAUUUAUGGUUCGAGUACAAUUUUUCAUGAACCAACCAUAAAAAACAGAAGAAUAAAAUACUAACUCUAAUGAGAAAACGAGAUAUGGAAAUACCCCCAGGUUAAAAAAAAAAACAAAAAACAACAAGAUAUGGAAAUGGGAUAAUGCAAGAAAUAUACGUGCCGACUACAAAGAAACUACAGUAAAAAUCUGAAUUGAUUACUUGAAUAUAACUCUUACUUGCAUGGGUUCGUGUCUCUUGAUGCUUCAUAUUACGACGUAAAUUUUUAAGAAAAACAAAUAUUACGAUACAAAAAUGUGAAAAUAAGUUUUGAGUUGCAAGCUACGCCAUAAACGCAUAGACCAUAGCUUUCUGGCUAAGUGUUGGGCUUGUUAGCAAGACAAUGGAACUUUCUCCCUAUAUUGAUUUAUUCAAAAAUCGUUACAAAAUUUUCAAUGAAAAUGUUAAAGUGACCAAGCUACUAAGAUUCAACCACGGAAUAUGCUAGUUGCCUAGUUAACGCUUUCGAUUCCUUCACGGUUAUAUUGAAUCUCAGACAAUCUUCGUAUAGAAAAAAUGACGACAUAUACUGAGAAAUUUAGAUAUAUUACUAAUUAAAAACGGGAAAUAAAACAUAAACCUAGCUUUAACUCGGCUUCAAUUUUAUUAUUUGUUUCUUUAUUUCUUUAUUUUUUUGUUUGUAUAUCCCUUUUAUUUUAGAUUUCUUCUUUGUCUUAAAUUUUGUUGAGUACUAUUUUAUUGUAGCGUGGUAAAUCUGAUUAGCAAAAAAACACAAGGUUUUUAUUCUAUAUAUAUAUAUAUAUAUAUAAUACUGGAAAAUGAGAUUUUUUUUUUGAAAAUGAGAUUUUCAAGUAGUAUUAUACUGUAUAUAUAUUAUAUGUGGGGGUCAAAAUAAUGUUGUUCCAACAAGAUUAAAACCAAAUUAUUAAGACGUCUCAGACUACAUUUCUUGUAAGAAAACAAUCAAAUUAUUCAUGUCUCCUAUAAUUAUUGUACUUCCAUCUCUCAAAAGGGAAAGUAUUCUUAUAUGCCCCAAUUGGAAAAAAAUUAUUCUCACUGCCCCACUAUUUUUUUCAUUACCCCACUAUUUUUCUCUUUCUCUUAUUACCCUUUCUUUUUAUAUUAGUUUUUAUUUAUUCAGCGGACCCCAAAUCUCUCUCUCUUACUCGCGGACCCCACUUCCCUCUCUCUUCCUCACCCAUUUUGUUUCAUUAUUUUAAUGUUAUACGGACUCCACGUCUCUCUUGUCCAUCUCAGUUUGUUUCAUUAUUUUAAUCUCAGGUGGGGACCCUUUUCUCAUAAAGCUGAUACAUUAACCAAAAUCAUAGGAUUUCCACUCUCAGAUGCUUUCUCUCCUCUUAACACGUGUCUAUCCUUUUUUUAUUCUCCAACAAUAUUCGACAUUUUUUUUUGAGCUCCAUUUGGUGAUUUCAAAAGUGAUUAUUAAAGUAAUUUGGUACGCUUUUUUCAUAAAUUUUUUUUGUAGGAAUGUAAUAUCUACGUUGUAUGUAUUAAGGGUAACAAAUCGUGGAGUUUUAAAGAAGUAUUAGAUCUUGACCCGUGCGUCCGCACGAGUAUUUACUUUUAAUUUUUGUAAACGUUCGAAAAUUAAAUACAUAUACUAUUGUACUAAUUAAAUUAGAAGAAGCUAAUUAAUUAAAUAUAACUGAGUUAGUUUUAUUAUUCUGAACAUUAAAACGAUUUUGAUUAAUUUAAUUUUCAAUAAACCAAUAAAUUAAUCUGAUAAUUUAAUAUAUUUCAUAGUUUUUCUUUUAUGGAUUGAAACAUUGACUUUUGAAUUUUUAAGUAAAUGAAAGAUUGCAUAUCUUUUAAAUUUAUUAGGUACCUAAAUAUUAGGCAAUUUCGUAGCCAUGUUUAUGAAAAUUGUUAUCUAUAAAGUUAGUGGCAUUGGAUGGUAAUUGUUGAGGAAAACUUAGGGUUAAGAUUUAUUUGUACUUCAGCUUUAAUAGAUUAGAUGUAAAUAAAAUUUAAAGAAGAUUAUGUAUAUUUCUUUAUCAAAAUCAGUGCCGUGCUUAGCUUUCUUGGGGCCUAAGGCAAAACUCAAUGUAAAAAAAUUAUUAAAUGUAAAAUUUAUUAUAAAAAUAAUUUUAAUGGAUAAAAUACUUAAUAAUAAAAAAUAUAAUAUAUAUUUUUAUAAAUUUAUUUAUAUAGCAUUAAAAUUGGUGAUAGAAACAUAUUAAAAAUAAGAAAUUAAUUAUAUAGCAGAAAGGAAAAAUAUGUCCAUAUAUAUUCAUUUUAUGAUAAUCAAAAUGUAUUAAGAGUAAGUGUGAAAUUGUACAAUAAAACAAAAAUAGCUAAAUAAAAUGAAGCUAGAUGAGAUGUACAUUUAGAAUCUAAAAUCCCAUAGAAGAAAACAAUUUUUGUUAUAAAUAUGUAAUAGUCGAAUAUAAUGGCUAAAUCAAAACAAAUGUAAAAAUUGGGGGCCUUUAAACUUGUGUUAGAACUGGGGACCUAAGGCAACCGUCUUUUUCGUAAGCUAGUAAGCACGGCUCUGGAGAAAAUUAAAGAAUAUGAACACCGUCAAGAGUGAGUUGUGUGUUGUUUUCAGUGAUUCUAAUCGUUUUCCCAAUGUGUUUGACUAAACAGAAAAAAGCAAAUGAUAGGAACUUGACCAAGUAAAGUUUGAUCCAAAUAGACUGGGUGCAAAAAUGUGGGGUACCCGUUUAGUUAUCUCAUAUAUAUUUUACAAGGUAUAUAUCUUUAGCAUUGGUGACAUAAUUGAGGCCUCAGGGAUAUGGUUCGGUAUGUUGUUUCCAGCUUUUUUAUUGAGGGGGGUUCCACUUUUCCUUUUAAAAAUUUAUAUAUUUCUUUUUGUAUUCUUCUAAUAUUUACAUUCAGAUCAUUUUAAAACGUAAAAGUUGGAAUGUUUUCUCGUCACAGCGGUGAUAUGCAUAGUGGUUUUAAUCAUAAAAUCGACAGUGAUCAUUUGUUAAAGCAUAUUAUGGUGGUUGGUUACCACUUACCUUGGUGGUUUUGUCAUGAAUAAUGAAUUCUCUUAGAUCUUCAAUUUCCGAAAUAUUUUUUGUCUUCCACAUGAUUUAUGAUAAUAAAACAUAGAAAAGAAAAAUGGAUGAUUAUCAAGUUAAGUAAUUAAUAGAUUCAGUUUUUUUUAGCUCGGAUUGAACUCAUGUUCGUGGACAUACAAAUGUAUUUUACCGAUAUUAAAUUUCAGUUUCCAAAUCACUUUUUUGUUAGAUUAUAGACGGAUUGUUCUUUGGUCUAAUUUUUCUAAAUUAAAGUGACUGGGUGUGAAGUAAAUAAUCUUAGAUACUCAAGUCAUAAUAAUUGAAGAAAAAUGUCUUGCUGUCAAAAAAAAAAAAAAA
Molecule: long non-coding RNA, 4497 nt
Organism: Brassica rapa (field mustard)
Lineage: Eukaryota; Viridiplantae; Streptophyta; Magnoliopsida; Brassicales; Brassicaceae
Source: RefSeq, a predicted model, not a curated record